Molecule: long non-coding RNA, 609 nt
Organism: Vespa mandarinia (Asian giant hornet)
Lineage: Eukaryota; Metazoa; Arthropoda; Insecta; Hymenoptera; Vespidae
Source: RefSeq, a predicted model, not a curated record
AUAGUAAAUUCGUAAUAAGAAAGAGAAAGAAAGAAAUAAAGAGAAAAAGAGAAAAAGAGAGAGAGAGAAAGAGAGAGAGAAAAGUGAGAAGAACCCCCUGCUGCGUGUUGUCGGCUACCUGGCUACCAGCUAUAUCUUAGAAGUCUGCCUAAGGCCUCGCAUUCAUCAUCGUGGACCACCUCCGGUGACACACGACGCAUCGAGAUUAAAAACAGCAAGUCUAAAUUCAAACCUGAAUAUAGAUGACGAUAUAACAUUCAACACGAUUCGGAAUAUGAUCGGAUGUACUAUGAAAAAUUAGAAACAGAAGUUUUCAAAAAGUAGACACCAAUCGAAAAUGGGAUAAAGAGGAAAAAAAAUUGUUAUAUAUCGAUGAGAAGAGGAUUCGAAGGACUUGAUCCUGACCACCAUGGUGGAUUACUCUCGAUCGUAAAGUAACCGAGGCGCAGAAACUCGACGAAACGUGCAAUUGAAGCGUCGAGCGAGCGUGAUUACCGUCAUCAACGAAGUUCAAAUACCGGUGUAAACGCUUCGCACUUUCGACUCGCUUGGAUAUGCGAUUGUACGAGAUCGUGAGCGGCUAAAACACUUUGAUCAGAAAUUUGCAUU